Long non-coding RNA from Perca fluviatilis (European perch), 357 nucleotides. RefSeq lists it as uncharacterized. NCBI's taxonomy places the organism in Eukaryota, Metazoa, Chordata, Actinopteri, Perciformes, Percidae. The transcript is spliced from 3 exons. The record is from RefSeq and is a predicted model, not a curated record.
AGGAUCAUGGGACCGUCACAUGACGCCAGUUAGUCUCGCGAGGCCUGGCUGAUGCCUGCCCUGGUUCCUGUCCUGCAGAAACAAAAGGGUAUUUUUGGGCUCUAACAAUAGAAGCUAAGAGAGGAUGGAUCUAAACUUAUAAAACAGAGAGCCAUUAAGUCCAUUUUGGGUCGACUGUAUACAUUUGGUGCCGUGCGCUGGCUGUGUUUCUGGUUGAAGUCUCACUAAGUGUCAAGCCGUGACAUUUCUGCUCCAGUUGGCUUUGUGUUCACCGGUCCACGCUCAGCAGAUUCCCCAAAACACAUUUGAAAAGACUCUCAAUAGGGAACAAGCCACAACCACUAAGAAUAAUGCAGU